UAGCUAGUUGGUGGGGUAAGGGCCUACCAAGGCGACGAUCGGUAGCUGGUCUGAGAGGAUGACCAGCCACACUGGAACUGAGACACGGUCCAGACUCCUACGGGAGGCAGCAGUGGGGAAUAUUGGACAAUGGGGGCAACCCUGAUCCAGCAAUGCCGCGUGUGUGAAGAAGGCCUGAGGGUUGUAAAGCACUUUCAGUGGGGAGGAGUAUUGAUGGGUUAAGAGCUAAUUAACUGGACGUUACCAACAGAAGAAGCACCGGCUAACUCCGUGCCAGCAGCCGCGGUAAUACGGAGGGUGCGAGCGUUAAUCGGAAUUACUGGGCGUAAAGAGUGCGUAGGUGGUUGAAUAAGUUAUCUGUGAAAUCCCUGGGCUUAACCUGGGCAGGUCAGAUGAUACUGUUUAACUCGAGUAUGGGAGAGGGUAGUGGAAUUUCCGGUGUAGCGGUGAAAUGCGUAGAGAUCGGAAGGAACACCAGUGGCGAAGGCGGCUACCUGGCCUAAUACUGACACUGAGGCACGAAAGCGUGGGGAGCAAACAGGAUUAGAUACCCUGGUAGUCCACGCUGUAAACGAUGUCAACUGGCUGUUGGUUAUAUGAAAAUAAUUAGUGGCGC
RNAcentral lists this ribosomal RNA (616 nucleotides) under uncultured Legionella sp. Its description in RNAcentral is "bacterial SSU rRNA". It matches the Rfam family "Bacterial small subunit ribosomal RNA", at positions 242 to 849 of the family's 1533-position model. The record is from RNAcentral. Lineage: Bacteria; Pseudomonadati; Pseudomonadota; Gammaproteobacteria; Legionellales; Legionellaceae.